Molecule: long non-coding RNA, 830 nt
Organism: Mustela erminea (ermine)
Lineage: Eukaryota; Metazoa; Chordata; Mammalia; Carnivora; Mustelidae
Exons: 2
Source: RefSeq, a predicted model, not a curated record
CGUCUCGUCUGGUCGAGUUGUCGCGCCGGCCGCGACAAGUGGCACCCGAACAGGGACCUGAGCACAUGCAAGUGAAAGUGCGUGUCUAGGAUGAGGAUACCCCGUGCUGGCUUCCAGAAAGGUGGUGCGGAAUCCUCGUGUCUCCAACAGAGGAUGGACGGCCAGAACAGACAGAGAAGAAAAAGAUGUCUCCCCCCUUACAGUCAGAGAUCUCCUGAAUCGGGCCCUAGACAUAGUGAAUCAGACCCAACCCAAUGAAGCAUUGAUCACUAUAUUAUUAACAUUAUUAGAUAUGGUUGGCCUCCCCCAUAGCAAGGCCACAGCCUAUUGGGCAUAAUUGCCUGAUCCACCCACUAUAAGGCCUCUUACUUGGGAUGAUCCAAGCCCCGGAGUACACAUUAAUGCUACAGAAUAUUUUGGGGGAAGCAGCUCAUGGCAUGGAAAGUGCAGAAUGUUAUAUUAAUUGGACUAGUUUAGCAGCUCAGGUACCUGUAUGUUUCCAGUUACCUUCCCCUGGCCAUGACCUUAUCAAUGGAUGCAUGGUGGUCCAAUCAAGACCCCCAUAUAGUUAGGAUAUGCAAGAAGUGGAGUUGCUUGAUCUAAUUCUGAGAUACGGCUUAAAAGAUGGACUGUCUAUGAGAUCACUAGUGACAAGACUCCUAAGGCUCCCCAAAGAGGCAUGUGUCCUCCUGGGUACCCUAUUUGUCCCCCCAAAUUAGACUAGACUAUUGCAGGUCCCAUUUGGACAGAAGGCCUCCAGGAGAAGCCGUUGAUCAUCUUUGCUCACGACAUCCCUGAUUUCUCUGUCACCGACUGGUCAAGAGUGGCUA